This 1055-nucleotide ribosomal RNA is filed under the name uncultured bacterium. RNAcentral's name for it is "bacterial SSU rRNA". It matches the Rfam family "Bacterial small subunit ribosomal RNA", at positions 336 to 1393 of the family's 1533-position model. The record is from RNAcentral.
CUCCUACGGGAGGCAGCAGUGAGGAAUAUUGGUCAAUGGACGAGAGUCUGAACCAGCCAAGUAGCGUGCAGGAAGACGGCCCUAUGGGUUGUAAACUGCUUUAUAAGGGAAUAAAGUGAGAGUCGUGACUCUUUUUGCAUGUACCUUAUGAAUAAGGACCGGCUAAUUCCGUGCCAGCAGCCGCGGUAAUACGGAAGGUCCGGGCGUUAUCCGGAUUUAUUGGGUUUAAAGGGAGCGUAGGCCGGAGAUUAAGCGUGUUGUGAAAUGUAGAUGCUCAACAUCUGAACUGCAGCGCGAACUGGUUUCCUUGAGUACGCACAAAGUGGGCGGAAUUCGUGGUGUAGCGGUGAAAUGCUUAGAUAUCACGAAGAACUCCGAUUGCGAAGGCAGCUCACUGGAGCGCAACUGACGCUGAAGCUCGAAAGUGCGGGUAUCGAACAGGAUUAGAUACCCUGGUAGUCCGCACGGUAAACGAUGGAUGCCCGCUGUUGGUCUGAAUAGGUCAGCGGCCAAGCGAAAGCAUUAAGCAUCCCACCUGGGGAGUACGCCGGCAACGGUGAAACUCAAAGGAAUUGACGGGGGCCCGCACAAGCGGAGGAACAUGUGGUUUAAUUCGAUGAUACGCGAGGAACCUUACCCGGGCUUGAAUUGCAGAGGAAGGAUUUGGAGACAAUGACGCCCUUCGGGGCCUCUGUGAAGGUGCUGCAUGGUUGUCGUCAGCUCGUGCCGUGAGGUGUCGGCUUAAGUGCCAUAACGAGCGCAACCCUUGUUGUCAGUUACUAACAGGUUUUGCUGAGGACUCUGACAAGACUGCCAUCGUAAGAUGUGAGGAAGGUGGGGAUGACGUCAAAUCAGCACGGCCCUUACGUCCGGGGCUACACACGUGUUACAAUGGGGGGUACAGAGGGCCGCUACCACGCGAGUGGAUGCCAAUCCCCAAAACCUCUCUCAGUUCGGACUGGAGUCUGCAACCCGACUCCACGAAGCUGGAUUCGCUAGUAAUCGCGCAUCAGCCACGGCGCGGUGAAUACGUUCCCGGGCCUUGUACACACCGC